AGGAAUCUGCCCAGUAGUAGGGGACAACCUGAGGAAACUCAGGCUAAUACCGUAUAAGUCCUACGGGAGAAAGGGGGCCUCUUCUUGAAAGCUCUCGCUAUUGGAUGAGCCUAUGUCGGAUUAGCUUGUUGGUGGGGUAACGGCCCACCAAGGCGACGAUCCGUAGCUGGUCUGAGAGGACGAUCAGCCACACUGGGACUGAGACACGGCCCAGACUUCUACGGGAGGCAGCAGUAGGGAAUAUUGGACAAUGGGCGAAAGCCUGAUCCAGCAAUGCCGCGUGUGUGAAGAAGGCCUGAGGGUUGUAAAGCACUUUCAGUUGGGAAGAAAAGCUUUAGGAUAAUACUCUAAAGUCUUGACGUUACCAACAGAAGAAGCACCGGCUAACUCUGUGCCAGCAGCCGCGGUAAUACAGAGGGUGCGAGCGUUAAUCGGAAUUACUGGGCGUAAAGCGUGCGUAGGCGGUUAAGUCAGUCGGAUGUGAAAGCCCAAGGCUUAACCUUGGAACUGCAUUCGAUACUGCUUAGCUAGAGUACAGUAGAGGGAAGCGGAAUUCCUAGUGUAGCGGUGAAAUGCGUAGAUAUUAGGAAGAACACCAGUGGCGAAGGCGGCUUCCUGGACUGAUACUGACGCUGAUGUACGAAAGCGUGGGGAGCAAACAGGAUUAGAUACCCUGGUAGUCCACGCCCUAAACGAUGAGAACUA
Molecule: ribosomal RNA, 705 nt
Filed under: uncultured Thioploca sp.
Lineage: Bacteria; Pseudomonadati; Pseudomonadota; Gammaproteobacteria; Thiotrichales; Thiotrichaceae
Description: bacterial SSU rRNA
Rfam family: Bacterial small subunit ribosomal RNA
Source: RNAcentral